This 512-nucleotide long non-coding RNA is filed under the name Hordeum vulgare. Its description in RNAcentral is "long non-coding RNA (HVUL_LNC008643)". The record is from RNAcentral. Lineage: Eukaryota; Viridiplantae; Streptophyta; Magnoliopsida; Poales; Poaceae.
CAUAACUAUUACUCGAGGCGGUUAAACCAAAAUCACACAGAACAUGGGAGUACCUUGCUCCGAUACCAAUUGAAAAUGUGUUAUAUCGACUAGAGGGGGUGAAUAGGCGAUUUUUACAAUUUCAUCACUGAGGAAAUUCCUAGUGAGGAAAGUCCUCAGCCAUGAACUGAGUGCAGCGGAAAUAGUACAAAGUUAGAAGUGCAAAAACGUCUACAGCAAAGUACUCAACGUGAUUUCAGAGAUUCGGUUUGCACAGGUCACAAGUACACGAUAAGAAGGUGAAGAAUUUGAGGUGAGGAAUUCAGAGAAAGUCUUCAAUCAAUUUUUUCAAACAGUACAGAUGAAAGUCUUCAACAUGCAAUUGAGGAAAUGAGAGAGUUGAGGAAAUAGAAUCAGUAGCUCGAUGAAGACAGUUGUUGAUGACCCAGUUCCAACUGUUGUAACAGUUGUACGUCUGGUUUGGAGCGGCUUGGUAUUGAAACCAAAGGACACACAGUCCCUACCGUAUUCUC